ACCUCCCCUCCCCAGCCCUGCCCCUCACUCCUCGAGGCAUGGCUGGCCUGUGGCUCUGCAGCAGCUCGUGGGAGCCCGAACACGGGGACAGUGCAGCCCUGGCCGCAGCAGCACAACACAGCAACCCUAAGAGCGAGAGCAGACCUGAACCUCCUGCUGGGACAAGACAUCAAGCCUCACAGCAGGACAAGCACAGAACCCUCAGAGGAAAAGAAGACCCAUUGCAAAAAGGGACAAAAAUAUUCCUCCCUUCCAACCCAAACUGUUCCGUGAUCCCGUGUUAUCUUCCUUGGAGGCAGAACCAGCAGCACUCAGAUGAAUGUAUGUCACAAUCCAGGAGUAAAGAAUUUCUUUCUAAAUCCCUAAAAGGCAAACUAUUCUGGGAAGGAAGCACAGGAAUCAAGGUGACACAUUCUGCAGCAGCAGCAGGUGGGGUGAUUUCACUGCCUAAAACCCAACAGCUUUGCUGUUGUUUUUGUUCCUUUUAUACUCUUCCUUUAACAAUCCCGUGUUAAUUUGAGGACUCCCAGGUUAUUGGGAAGGCUGGGAAGCUGUGUCAGCAGCAGAGCAGCUGCUCAAAUCACUGUGACCUCCCAGUUUAUGGAGCACUUUGCCCCCUGCUACCCCAAACACAUUUGGCACAGGGAGCCCUUCAGCUGUCUUCCCCUCCUGAAGGGAAUGCCUUCCCCUGGGAAUGGUGCUCGGGAUUUGGUGGAAGCUGCGCCUCCUGCCUAUGGGCUGCUCCUUCCUCCUGCCCCCUUGGGGACAGAUCCCAUUUUUCACCAGGAUCCCCAUCUUUCAUUUCCCAGGAAGGUGUGUUUGUCUGCGCGUUCCCAGCAGGAGAACCACGAUGGUGGAUGUCUCUGUAAGGGCAGGAAAGGAGCAAAUCCCCUCCAGACACACCAGGACAGGGCUAUUCCAUGAGCCUAGGCUGCAAUUUGUCAUCCUGGCAGCUUAAUUAGCCUGGGCAGCACAAUGCCCAGCAUGGCACCUGUGUGUGUCUCCAUCCCUGGGCACAGUCCUGCCUCUCCUGCCCUCCCUCCCUCACCUUUUGGAAGGAAAGGAAGGAGGAGGCAGCGGUGGAGCCAAGAAUGAGAGCCUUGAGAUCACCACUCCCCUCCCUGUGCUUCUCCUGGCCUUAAUAAUUCCUCCCACGCCCCCAUCCAUGUUCAAGGUCUGUGCCUUGAUGUCUCCUCAGAAUUCCCACCCUCAGCCCCCAGGUGUUUAUGCAUUUCCAGCCUGCAAGGCAAAAGUGUGCAGCAGUAAAUUAAACUGCUGGGAGAGACAUAAAUUUAUUAUUCCUGGCUUGGUGAUGGGGUAAAGUUUUAAGUUUAUCCUUCAUGUUCCUCAUUUAAACCAUGGUGAUUAAUCAGCAAUGAGCAAUUUGUUUCCCACCCCCCUCUCCCUAGGACUAGCUCUGUGUAAUGCUAAAUCUGAGCAAAGGCUGCUCAAAUAUUUGAUAUAUUUAAAACCUGCACUUUCCUUUUUCAUUAAAAGAGCCUCUCACCCGCAUUUCUGAGAUAACAACUUGGAAUCAAGUAGCUCUUUGUGAAUGCUGGGAGAGCGACGCUGUCUAGGUCUGAUGUCUGAAAUGUAACACAUUAAAAAAUAAUCAUCUUUCUACCUGUGCAAAAUUCAUCAGAUUAAAUAAUGGCCUUAAUACGAUUUCUCUGGUGACCUUUAUUGAGGAAAUAAAUUCUUCCUGAGAUACUAAAAAUAACCAUGACAAAGCAGAGUUUCUCUAAACUCUGGUGUUGUCAUUCUCUCUAAACUCUUGAAACAAAUCUAAACCUCCCUCCAGCACUACAACAUUCAGUUCUGCAUCAUUCUCUAGAAGCAUCCCAUCCCUGGAACCUCAAAAAUCUGCCCCAGAAUCUCUGCCUGGAUUUCUGUAGCAUUCCCAGGAACACCUGCCCUGAGAACAGCCCCAGGCCGGCUCUCACAUUCCAGUUAGUUAGGUACCAUGCCCACAAUCUUCUGGGAGCAGAAAACAUGAUCUGGAGUGGCAAGCAUUAAAAAAAAAGGUUAAUUUUGGCUUUACUGCCCUAAAAAGAUGAUGUUUCCUAUUCUCUAAGUAGCUCAACAGAACUUUGAAGGUGAAGAGAAAGGCUUUCAACAGUUUGACUCAAGAUUUUGUCCAUUCUCUUAGAAGAGCUGCAGAAGAGCCACUGCAGAGACACUUCCCUUCCCCAAAUCCAUUUGGGAAUCCAACACAAACUUCUUUGCUGUUUUCUCCUCCAAGCAAAACUUCCAGGACCUCAUGGAAGCCAAAUAUUGCCUAAACCCCACAGGUCUGUGCAAAGCACAGCAACUCCACAGGAAUC
Molecule: long non-coding RNA, 2324 nt
Organism: Passer domesticus (house sparrow)
Lineage: Eukaryota; Metazoa; Chordata; Aves; Passeriformes; Passeridae
Exons: 3
Source: RefSeq, a predicted model, not a curated record